RNAcentral lists this small nuclear RNA (169 nucleotides) under Sorex araneus (European shrew). RNAcentral's name for it is "U1 spliceosomal RNA (ENSSARG00000019776.1)". It matches the Rfam family "U1 spliceosomal RNA". From Rfam's summary of the family: U1 is a small nuclear RNA (snRNA) component of the spliceosome (involved in pre-mRNA splicing). Its 5' end forms complementary base pairs with the 5' splice junction, thus defining the 5' donor site of an intron. Lineage: Eukaryota; Metazoa; Chordata; Mammalia; Eulipotyphla; Soricidae. The record is from RNAcentral.
AUACUCACCUGGUAAAGAACUCUCAUGAUCAUGAAGGUGAUUUUCCCUGGGCAAGGUUUAUCUACUAUGCUCUAGAUGUGUGGAUAUUGGGAUUGCCCUAAAUGUGAAAAAUUCAACUGUAUUGUAUUGUGUAUUGUGUAUUGGGGGGCUAUGUUUGCAAACUCCUCUG